GUCUUUUUGAUUUUAAUUUAAAGUCAAAUCUGCCCACUGAUUAAUAUUAAAGGGCUGCAGUAUAUUGACUGUACAAAGGUAGCAUAAUAAAUAGUCUUUUAAUUGAAGACUUGUAUGAAAGAUUUGAUGAGAUAUAAACUGUCUCUUUUUUAUAUUUAGAAUUUAAUUUUUUAGUAAAAAAGCUAAAAUUAUUUUAAAAGACGAGAAGACCCUAUAGAGUUUUAUAGUUAAUUUAUUUAUAAAUUUAUAUGUAAAAUUUCAAAUUUAAUUAAUUUAAUUAUUUUGUUGGGGUGAUAGAAAAAUAUAUUAAACUUUUUUUAAAAAAUUACAUUAAUUAAUGAGUAUAUGAUCCAUAAAUUAUGAUUAAAAGAAAAAAUUACCUUAGGGAUAACAGCGUAAUUUUUUUUUUUAGUUCUUAUAGGAAAAAGAGUUUGCGACCUCGAUGUUGGAUUAAGAUAAAAUUUAAAUGUAGAAGUUUAAAAUUUUUGAUCUGUUCGAUCAUUAAAAUCUUACA
RNAcentral lists this ribosomal RNA (514 nucleotides) under Parnara bada. Its description in RNAcentral is "partial 16S ribosomal RNA". The stretch from base 387 to 514 matches the Rfam family "Bacterial large subunit ribosomal RNA", at positions 2473 to 2600 of the family's 2925-position model. Lineage: Eukaryota; Metazoa; Arthropoda; Insecta; Lepidoptera; Hesperiidae. The record is from RNAcentral.